UAUCUGGUCACAUUGUAUCCACAGUCGGGA
This 30-nucleotide non-coding RNA is filed under the name Mus musculus (house mouse). Lineage: Eukaryota; Metazoa; Chordata; Mammalia; Rodentia; Muridae. The record is from RNAcentral.